GCCUAACACAUGCAAGUCGAGCGCACCUUCGGGUGAGCGGCGGACGGGUUAGUAACGCGUGGGAACAUACCCUUUUCUACGGAAUAGCCUCGGGAAACUGAGAGUAAUACCGUAUAAGCCCUUCGGGGGAAAGAUUUAUCGGGAAAGGAUUGGCCCGCGUUAGAUUAGAUAGUUGGUGGGGUAAUGGCCUACCAAGUCUACGAUCUAUAGCUGGUUUUAGAGGAUGAUCAGCAACACUGGGACUGAGACACGGCCC
RNAcentral lists this ribosomal RNA (256 nucleotides) under Pseudo-nitzschia pungens. RNAcentral's name for it is "partial Bacterial small subunit ribosomal RNA". It matches the Rfam family "Bacterial small subunit ribosomal RNA", at positions 46 to 332 of the family's 1533-position model. The record is from RNAcentral. Lineage: Eukaryota; Bacillariophyta; Bacillariophyceae; Bacillariales; Bacillariaceae.